Molecule: unclassified non-coding RNA, 2545 nt
Organism: Octopus bimaculoides (California two-spot octopus)
Lineage: Eukaryota; Metazoa; Mollusca; Cephalopoda; Octopoda; Octopodidae
Source: RefSeq, a predicted model, not a curated record
CUUUAAACACGUAUAUGUAUGGAUAAUAUAUAUAUGUAUGUAUACAUUAUAUGAUAUAUAUAUAUAUAUAUAUAUAUAUAUAUAUAUAUCUAGUUACUUCUGCUUUGAUCAGCUCUUCUUGUUUGUGUCCGGUAUCAUCUAACAGCGGAAAACAUGCCGUGAACAACAACAACAACAACAGCAACAACAUCAAGAUGGCUAACCUAUAAAUACAAACACACAUGCAUAAAUAGCUGUAUACAUCCAUAAAUACACAUAUAUAUAUACUUGUUCACGCACACAGAUAUAUAUAUAUAUAUAUAUACACACACAUACACAGCACGCAUACAUGCAUAUUCACUAAUAUAGAGACAACCAUUCUCGCAUACAUAUAUAGCCACUUAUAUACAUAGAUAUAUAUAUAUAUAUAUAUAUAUAUAUAUACACGUCAAUACACGCACAUACACACAUAUAUAUAUGCAUAUAUAUACAAACGGAUGCAUCAUGCACACAUUCAUAUAUAUGUAAAUAAUCACACAUAUUUAUACUCACGCACUCACAGACACAACCACGCCCAGCCAGAGAGCACACACAAACACAUACUCAUUUGUAUGCACGCCUUCGUAUACACAAACAAACGAAAGGAGAAUGUAUAAUUAAAAAGAAUAAACAAAUAUAAAAAAAACAACAACAACUGGAAACCCUGCAAAGAAAAAAAGAAAAAGACAGGUUUAAUACGAAGCAAAAAAGAAAAAAAAAACACACACGGAAACCUAAACAAAAAAACAUGAGAGAAGGAAAAUGACAAAUGUAAUGCAAUUAAUAUUGGCGAUGACAGCGUUCUUGAUGAGGAAUAUGAUGACGAUGAUGAUGAUGAUCAUGAUGAAUACAAUGAUGGUGAUGAUGCCGAUGAUGAUGACAACGACGAUGAUGAUGAUGGCAUACACUACGGGAGAUGCGAUGCAUAGUGACCCGCCAAAAUGAUGGAAUAUAACGUUAACGAGUAUCGCAACAGGCACGACACCGAUAAUAAUAAUAAUAAUAAUAAUAAUAAUAAUAAUAAUAAUAAUAAUAAUAAUAAUGAUGAUGAUGAUGAUGAUUAUCUAUUUUGUCAUCAUAUAUCAAUGAUUAUUGAAAAGUAAAUAAAAAAAUAAAUUUUAAAGAAAAGAAAAAAAGGAAGAAAUCAACCUUUGUCACAGCCAUCACAAACAUGAUGAUAAAAAUAAUUAAUUAAUAAAUAUUAAUAAUAAAAAAAAUAUUAUAAUAAUUAUUAAUAAUAAUAAUAAUAAUUAUAAAAAUUAAAAAUAAGAAUAAUAAUCGUGUUCCUUCUUCCUGGAUGAAGAUUUCUGAUAUGUUCACAUUCGGAAAGGAUUAAUCCGUUUUUUUCUGUGAGCUUUUAAUUAAAAAGGAACUUAUUCUGGCCUAUGUUGACAUCUAUUGCUAGGAGCUGGUUUGGUUUUAUACGUACCCACAUGUAUAUAUAUGUAUAUACUUACUAAUACACAUAUAUAUAUAGAUAGAUACUACAAUACAGGUACGUCUUACUAUCAAUUCUACACUUGUGAUAUUCCCAAACUAGUUGAUAGAUUCACCGCUGUGAGUCCUCAUUCUUCUUUGAAUACGCUGUGGAUAUUUUUACUUCAUUUUCACAGUGGCGCUUCAGACUAAUGCAAGGUUUGUCGGUUGAUACUAUUCAGAAGCUGAUACGAAAAAUAACCAUAUAAGAAUUCUUCUUAAAUCCUACAACAUAUUUCAAUUUACACAGCCCUUGGCUUCAAUAUUUACUGCAGUUCACCAGUAUUGAACUCUGAUCAUUGCCUCACCACAAAGUUAUAUAUGUCGUUGUCAACAUCUAUUUGUCCUACCGGCACACAAUACCAGUUAUAAAAACCAUGACGUCUUGGAGCAGCUGACUAACAUAUAAUCAUUAUCAAUCAUGGAUAGAAAGAUACUUGCGGGUGCAUUGAUUACAUACUUAUUACUAACACUUUCAACAACAGAUGCAGAUCAGAUACCGAUUGAUAAAUUCGGUAUUAUAGCCUUUUCUACCAACGAACCCCCAACGUUACUCCAAUCAUCGAAAAUUAUUGUCAAGCCUGAAGAUACCAAAGUUGGAGAUAAAAUCGGCGUGAUUACAGCGAGAGAUAAAGACGGUCCCAGAGAAUUAGAGUUUUUUGUUCAGAGUGGCGGUAAAUUAGUUAACCUCAGCAAACCAACGGGAUCCAGUAAGACAGGGAGGGCCGUAAAUAUAUUAUUGGCCACACCGUUGGAUCGAGACUGGGUAAUUCUUUCUCUCUUUUCCUUUUUUGUAUUUUUUCUUCUUUUGUUUUUUCAGCAUCUGUGUUUCUAUGCUAUUUUCUUUUGUCUUUUUUGUUUUUUUUUUCUCUUACUAUGAAGACGCGUGGCGUUGUGGUUAGGCUAUUCUGCUCACAAUAGUAAAGUUGAGAGUUCGAUACACAGUGGUUCCACUGAGCAAGACAUUAUAUUUCACCUUGCUCCAGUUUACUCAGGUGGCAAAUAUGCGCAGUGCCUGUAAUUCAAACGGCCAGCAUUGUCACAUUCUUUG